GUAAUGGAGUGGAGGCGGGGCUACGUUUUGCCCGAGACUAGAGUCACAUCCUGACACAGCUCUUGUCCUGGUGUGCUAGAGUCCUCGGAGAAAAUCUGCUGGUCUUGAUUCACUGGCGAGG
MicroRNA precursor from Equus caballus (horse), 121 nucleotides. Lineage: Eukaryota; Metazoa; Chordata; Mammalia; Perissodactyla; Equidae. The record is from Ensembl.